GAGGGUGUAGUUCAGUGAUAGUGCGUGUGCUUAGCGUGCACGAGGUCCUGGGUUCAAUUCCCAGUACCUCCA
Molecule: transfer RNA, 72 nt
Filed under: Camelus bactrianus (Bactrian camel)
Lineage: Eukaryota; Metazoa; Chordata; Mammalia; Artiodactyla; Camelidae
Also listed under: 2 other names
Rfam family: tRNA
About the family: Transfer RNA (tRNA) molecules are approximately 80 nucleotides in length. Their secondary structure includes four short double-helical elements and three loops (D, anti-codon, and T loops).
Source: Rfam by way of RNAcentral